UACAGAGGUGGCAAGCGUUGUUCGGAAUUACUGGGCGUAAAGGGCGAGUAGGUGGCCAUCUAAGUCAGACGUGAAAUCCCCCGGCUUAACCUGGGAACUGCGUCUGAUACUGGACGGCUUGAGUAUGGGAGAGGAACGUAGAAUUCCAGGUGUAGCGGUGAAAUGCGUAGAUAUACGGAGGAACACCAGCGGCGAAGGCGGGUAGCUGGGCCAACACUGACGCUGAUGCGCGAAAGCUAGGGUAGCAAACGGG
RNAcentral lists this ribosomal RNA (253 nucleotides) under uncultured bacterium. Its description in RNAcentral is "partial 16S ribosomal RNA". It matches the Rfam family "Bacterial small subunit ribosomal RNA", at positions 524 to 776 of the family's 1533-position model. The record is from RNAcentral.